AUGUACUUGAGGGAUGCUGUAGAAAAGGCUUGGAGGAUCCAUGCUGCUGACUGUGAGGAUUCUAAAGUGUGGCCUCUUAUUUUUCAGCAUCCUCUAUGCAAACGCCCAAGGGAAGGGCUUAGCUUAAAUGUGGGUGCUGAGACAAAGUUUCUUCUCUUCCAGGGCUGGAUCCCAAACAGCACAGCAGGUGGACGCUGGGGACAAGACAUGGCAGAGGAGCAAGGCAGUUUCACCUUUACUACUAAUGAUCAUUGCUGUGAGGCAUUUAAAUUGAAAACCAAGUUAGACUCCAACAUUUGGUUUCACGAUAAAUGAAGAGCUGGAAUGAGUAGCGAGCGCUCCCCUGGAUGGUCAGGAGGCUCUGAAGCAGGAGCACUCAGAUUUGCCGAGGCUGCUGUUGAACAGGAUUCAGGCUG
This 416-nucleotide long non-coding RNA is filed under the name Mus spicilegus (steppe mouse). RNAcentral describes it as "lncRNA (ENSMSIG00000008426.1)". Lineage: Eukaryota; Metazoa; Chordata; Mammalia; Rodentia; Muridae. The record is from RNAcentral.